RNAcentral lists this ribosomal RNA (253 nucleotides) under uncultured bacterium. Its description in RNAcentral is "partial 16S ribosomal RNA". It matches the Rfam family "Bacterial small subunit ribosomal RNA", at positions 524 to 776 of the family's 1533-position model. The record is from RNAcentral.
UACAGAGGGUGCGAGCGUUGUCCGGAAUCACUGGGCGUAAAGGGCGUGUAGGCGGCUGGGUAAGCCGCGUGUGAAAUCCCGGGGCUCAACCCCGGAACGGCACGCGGGACUGUCCGGCUAGAGAAUGGUAGAGGCGAGUGGAAUUCCUGGUGUAGCGGUGGAAUACGUAGAGAUCAGGAAGAACACCGGUGGCGAAGGCGGCUCGCUGGGCCAUUUCUGACGCUGAGGCGCGAAAGCGUGGGGAGCAAACAGG